This 549-nucleotide ribosomal RNA is filed under the name Triticum aestivum (bread wheat). Its description in RNAcentral is "partial small subunit ribosomal RNA". The record is from RNAcentral. Lineage: Eukaryota; Viridiplantae; Streptophyta; Magnoliopsida; Poales; Poaceae.
AUGGGCCCUGGCUUGGACGGACGUUUGGACGCCAUGGACGGAGCGAGGCAGAGCCGUGGCUCAAGAUGUCGUCGGCGUCUGAUCUGUGGAUCAGAUCCGGUGCUUUCCGGUAGUGGCGGCAGGGCACGCAGUAAAUGUAAAAGUUGGGCGCUGGGGCAAGCUAUCCCCUACCCAGUGAAGUUGGAUCUUGCAUUCUUCAAGGCAGGGAACCGGUGGAGAAAUCUCCUGCAGGAAAGGGGAGUGGGCGGUCCAGCGAGCAUGGAGUUCUUGUUGCAGCCAUUAAACAGUACCACAACACUGCUAGAGAAGGUUAACGAGAACAACAACACCAUUGAGCCUCUUCACUACCCAGUCAUGGCGCCGGCGGUGGUUGAGCUGCCGGCCCCGGCGGCCUCAAGUGCAGAAGGCCAAAUCUGUGUUGAAGGCGCCGCUCCAGAGCCGGCCAGUGCAGACAAGGGUCAAGGUUCAGAGCACUCUAUAGAGCAAGUGGAUCCAAAAGCUCCGGGGUGGACGCAAAGAGUGCGUGUUGGCGCUGCCGCACUAGGCUGA